UAGUCAUAUGCUUGUCUUAAAGACUAAGCCAUGUAUGUCUAAGUAUAAGUAUUAUACAGCGAAACUGCGAAUGGCUCAUUAAAACAGUUAUAGUUUAUUUGACAAUCGAAUUUACAUGGAUAACCGUGGUAAUUCUAGAGCUAAUACAUGCUGGUGUGCCCAACUUUUUGGAAGGGCGGUAUUUAUUAGAUAACAAGCCAAUAUUCCUCUGGUCUAUUGUGGUGACUCAUAAUAACUGAUCGAAUCGCAAGGCCUAUGGCCGCGAUAAGUCAUUCAAGUUUCUGCCCCAUCAGCUUUCGAUGGUAGUGUAUUGGACUACCAUGGCGUUUACGGGUAACGGAGGAUUAGGGUUCGAUUCCGGAGAGGGAGCCUGAGAAACGGCUACCACAUCUAAGGAAGGCAGCAGGCGCGUAAAUUACCCAAUCCUGAUUCAGGGAGGUAGUGACAAGAAAUAACGGACCGAGGCCCUCGGGCUUCGGAAUUGCAAUGAGCCGAAUUUACACCCCUUAGCGAGGAUCAAUU
RNAcentral lists this ribosomal RNA (522 nucleotides) under uncultured eukaryote. Its description in RNAcentral is "SSU rRNA". It matches the Rfam family "Eukaryotic small subunit ribosomal RNA", at positions 21 to 549 of the family's 1831-position model. The record is from RNAcentral.